GGAAGUAAAAGUCGUAACCAGGUUUCCGUAGGUGAACCUGCGGAAGGAUCAUUAUUGUAUAACCGAGGUGCGAGGGCUGUCGCUGACCCGAAAGGUCGUGCACGCCCGAGUGCCCUCACACACAUCCAUCUCACCCCUAUGUGCACCACCGCGUGGGUCCCCCUUUGGCUUGUUCGGAGGGGGGCUUACGUUUUCACACAAACUUUGUAUGCAGUGUAGAAUGUAUUUUUUGUUUUUGCGAUCACGCAAUCAAUACAACUUUCAACAACGGAUCUCUUGGCUCUC
Molecule: unclassified non-coding RNA, 285 nt
Filed under: plant metagenome
Description: partial contains small subunit ribosomal RNA, internal transcribed spacer 1, and 5.8S ribosomal RNA
Rfam family: Eukaryotic small subunit ribosomal RNA (bases 1-54)
Source: RNAcentral